Molecule: long non-coding RNA, 1070 nt
Filed under: Coturnix japonica (Japanese quail)
Lineage: Eukaryota; Metazoa; Chordata; Aves; Galliformes; Phasianidae
Description: lncRNA (ENSCJPG00005002175.1)
Source: RNAcentral
CAGACCCCCCCCCAUUCCUCUCUAUGGGGGGCUGAGCCCUGACCCCUCCCCCCCCUUUAUAUCCCUAUGGAGGACCCUGACCCUGAUGGUCUUUAAUUAAGGGGGGGGUUUAAUAUGUGCUACCCCCCCCACUUCCUCCCUAUGGGGGGGGUUAAUGUGUGCUACCCCCCCCAUUCCUCUCUAUGGGGGCCUGAGCCCUGAUCGUCUUUAAUUGGGGGGGUGGGUGUUAAUAUGUGCCCCCCCCCCCCAUUGUAUCCCUAUGGAGCCCCCCUCGCUUUCAGAUCGGGGGCGGAGUGUUGGCGCCUCAUGGGGGGGGGCUGUGUCGGUAUAUGUGGGGGGGGGGCUUCAUUCCGAUCCUGUAUUAAAGGAGGGGGGAUCAGCUUGUUGCCCCCCCCCCCAUCCAACGAUCUGCGGCGCCUUCGGGCCGGCGACCUCCUCCUCGUGGGGGGGGCGGUGGUGAAGGGGGGGGGGCUUUGAUGCUGUUGGCCAUGGGGGGGGGUCGGAGCCUGUUCCUGGUUAUUGCCCCCCCCCCACCCCAGGCGAUGCUGCGGGUUGCUCUUAAAGGGGAAGCGCAGUUUGCAGUCCUGGGGGGGGGGCAGGAAACGAGCUGAGCGACGUAACGGGGCGUGGGGGCCAUUUCCGCCUCCACUUCCGCUUCCUCCACUUCCGCUUCCUCCUCCACUUCCGCUUCCGCCUCCACUUCCGCUUCCCAUCAUCCCCAUCAGCCGGGCCUGUUCCUGCCGUAACCAGCGCAGCCUCCCCCGGCGGAACGCGGGAUCUUCCUCCAUUAACCGGCACAGCCGGGCCGCCGCCCCUUCUUCUUCUUCCUCUUCCGCUUCCUCUACUUCCGCUUCCUUCACUUCCGCUUCCGGUUUGGCGGCGUCUUUAGCUCCGCCCCCACUCGCAACAUCCGGGCCCGGAUCUGCUCCUCCUUGGCGUUACUCUGCAGCUUCACCUCCUUUAGGACCCCCACCAGCCUCUCCACGUGAGCCCUCAGCCCUUCCACGUCGCUAUGGGGCGGCUUUGGGGUCGGGGGGGGGUCGUGGUUUGGGGUCUGGGGGGGGUCUGUG